CCACCUUUGACAUGUAUGGAAUCCUUUAGAGAUAGAGGAGUGCUCGAACGAGAGCCAUAACACAGGUGCUGCAUGGCUGUCGUCAGCUCGUGUCGUGAGAUGUUGGGUUAAGUCCCGCAACGAGCGCAACCCUUGCCAUUAGUUGCUACGAAAGGGCACUCUAAUGGGACUGCCGGUGACAAACCGGAGGAAGGUGGGGAUGACGUCAAGUCCUCAUGGCCCUUAUAGGUGGGGCUACACACGUCAUACAAUGGCUGGUACAGAGGGUUGCCAACCCGCGAGGGGGAGCCAAUCCCAUAAAGCCAGUCGUAGUCCGGAUCGCAGUCUGCAACUCGACUGCGUGAAGUCGGAAUCGCUAGUAAUCGCGGAUCAGAGUGUCGCGGUGAAUA
This 389-nucleotide ribosomal RNA is filed under the name uncultured bacterium. RNAcentral describes it as "bacterial SSU rRNA". It matches the Rfam family "Bacterial small subunit ribosomal RNA", at positions 975 to 1368 of the family's 1533-position model. The record is from RNAcentral.